UACAGAGGGUGCGAGCGUUGUCCGGAAUCACUGGGCGUAAAGGGUGCGUAGGUGGCUAGGUAAGUUCGGUGUGAAAGCUCGGAGCUCAACUCCGAAAAGGCAUUGAAUACUAUCUGGCUGGAGGGUCGGAGGGGAGACUGGAAUUCUCGGUGUAGCAGUGAAAUGCGUAGAUAUCGAGAGGAACACCAGUGGCGAAGGCGAGUCUCUGGACGACACCUGACACUGAGGCACGAAAGCCAGGGGAGCAAACAGG
Molecule: ribosomal RNA, 253 nt
Filed under: uncultured bacterium
Lineage: Bacteria
Description: partial 16S ribosomal RNA
Rfam family: Bacterial small subunit ribosomal RNA
Source: RNAcentral